RNAcentral lists this non-coding RNA (30 nucleotides) under Homo sapiens (human). Lineage: Eukaryota; Metazoa; Chordata; Mammalia; Primates; Hominidae. The record is from RNAcentral.
UCCCACGAAGAGGUGAAAUUGGCUUGACAA